Long non-coding RNA from Populus trichocarpa (black cottonwood), 628 nucleotides. RefSeq lists it as uncharacterized. NCBI's taxonomy places the organism in Eukaryota, Viridiplantae, Streptophyta, Magnoliopsida, Malpighiales, Salicaceae. The record is from RefSeq and is a predicted model, not a curated record. The transcript has 2 exons.
GGUACCGACAAUUUAUAUGAAUUAUACGAGUACGAAAUUAAACAGUACAUAUUGAAGAGUGCUAUAGAAAGGGGUCUUGUAGUUGUCUGAGGAUGGAACUCUCUCCUCUUACUAGUGGAAAAUUUGCUUUGUUGAGACAGGGCAGCCACAGGCUAUCGGAAAUGUAUUCUUAGCAUGUAUAUAGCCUGCUGCUGCAAGAGGAUACUUGAGUGUUAGAUACAUGGUGUUCUGAAUUCACUUUUGUAUAAGCAAACUAGGCAGACAUCUCUCUCUCUCUCUCUGAUCUCUUCUCGAUCCUCUAUAUGUUUCGUUGGUUUUCACCUCCAUGAAAUAGUCAAAUGGGGUGGCUGCAAUCCCUCUUUUCUCCCUUGAAGAAGCUGUGGUUUCGCAAGCAUUCAACAACUCAUAAGAAGACUGAAGAUAUAAACAUUCUGCACGAAGACGUCAAGUCCUGCCAGUAUGAAGAUGUUCAUGUUCUCUGGUCUAUAUUAGUAGAUUCCCAGACACCUCCUCUAACAUCCAAACGAUGAGCAAUGGGGGUUAUUGCCUUCCCCAGCAACCAAUCAAUCAGGGAUAAUUUCUGCAAAGUUUCUAAAAAGUUGUAAUGUUAAUAAUUGAGAACUCUUAA